AUCAGGCGAGGUGGUGUGCUACUUAGCCAUCCAGAGGACUCAGAUUCUCUUUCCUCUGGAGCAGAUCGACUGCUCGGUCUUCCCCUCCUCUGGUCUGGUGGAGAAUGCAGAGCAGCUAGUGUGGACUGCCUGCAUUCCUCUCUAUGUCCGGAAGCUCUCUCUCUCUCAGGGGGAGGUCGGGGUUCCUGUGUCCCAGCGCAGCGCAACCUGGAUAGUAGCCUGCGCUCUUUGGGGAGACUCCUGAGCGCAGAGCACAGCGCUCUGCUGGGAUGUGUUGUCCUUCAGGGGGAGGUCCGGUCGGCCGCCUUUUCCUGAGUGCAGGAUGAACUCUCCUUCAGGGGGGGGGUGCCGAACUGCCCGAGCGCAGUGCU
Molecule: long non-coding RNA, 371 nt
Organism: Bufo bufo (common toad)
Lineage: Eukaryota; Metazoa; Chordata; Amphibia; Anura; Bufonidae
Exons: 3
Source: RefSeq, a predicted model, not a curated record